UACGUAGGGGGCAAGCGUUAUCCGGAAUUAUUGGGUGUAAAGGGUGCGUAGACGGGAGUCUAAGUUAGUUGUGAAAUCCCUCGGCUCAACUGAGGAACUGCAACUAAAACUGGACAUCUUGAGUGCAGGAGAGGAAAGUGGAAUUCCUAGUGUAGCGGUGAAAUGCGUAGAUAUUAGGAGGAACACCAGUGGCGAAGGCGACUUUCUGGACUGUAACUGACGUUGAGGCACGAAAGUGUGGGGAGCAAACAGG
This 253-nucleotide ribosomal RNA is filed under the name uncultured bacterium. RNAcentral describes it as "partial 16S ribosomal RNA". It matches the Rfam family "Bacterial small subunit ribosomal RNA", at positions 524 to 776 of the family's 1533-position model. The record is from RNAcentral.